This 224-nucleotide unclassified non-coding RNA is filed under the name Hevea brasiliensis (rubber tree). The record is from RNAcentral. Lineage: Eukaryota; Viridiplantae; Streptophyta; Magnoliopsida; Malpighiales; Euphorbiaceae.
AGAACUUAUUGAGCAACAUCUUAAUCCUAAUAGGCCAAAAUCCAUGGAAGGGGACAUUCUUGAUGUUUUGCUCCAAUUGAAGAAAGAGAAAUCAACACCAAUUGAUCUCACUUUGGAGGAUAUAAAAGCAAUUGUCAUGGUAAUCUCUUGUGUCUUAAAAGCUCUCAAACACACACACACUCACAAACACAUACACGAACAUUGAACACCCUUUGUGAAAUUUG